AUGCAGAGGCGGAGGCCGGGAUUCCACCAUGUGGAAGAGACAGAGAACAAUGUAGUGCGGAGCCUGUUCUGGACAGACUCCUUGUGCAAGAUGAAUUACGAGCUAUAUGGAGAUUUUGUGUCUUUUGACACGACAUUCUCUACGAAUAUAUAUGGCUUACCAUUUGCACCAAUUGUAAGUGUCAACAACCAUGGGUCGACCGUCCUGUUUGGACUAGGCCUUUUGAAGGAUGAGAAGAUAGGGUCAUUCAAGUGGCUCCUAAGCACAUUUGUCGAGGCAAUGGGAGGUAAAGAGCCGAAAUACAUAAUAACGGACCAGGACCAGGCGAUGAAGACUGCAAUAAAGGAAGCUCUUCCGAGAACGAGACACAGGUUCUGCUGGUGGCAUAUUAGGAAGAACCUAAAGGAAAAUAACGCAGUAGUGUUGCGCAGCACCCAGGGAUGUCUGAUGAUUUAUUUCGAAUCGUCAAAAACUCACUGGAUCAAGACAAGUUUGAGCGUGCCUGGAAAGCAGCAAUUUCUGUGCACAAGGCGGAAGGCAACAAACACUUGA
This 552-nucleotide ribosomal RNA is filed under the name Triticum aestivum (bread wheat). RNAcentral describes it as "partial small subunit ribosomal RNA". The record is from RNAcentral. Lineage: Eukaryota; Viridiplantae; Streptophyta; Magnoliopsida; Poales; Poaceae.